This 77-nucleotide transfer RNA is filed under the name Sphingobacteriales bacterium. RNAcentral's name for it is "tRNA-Pro". It matches the Rfam family "tRNA". From Rfam's summary of the family: Transfer RNA (tRNA) molecules are approximately 80 nucleotides in length. Lineage: Bacteria; Pseudomonadati; Bacteroidota; Sphingobacteriia; Sphingobacteriales. The record is from RNAcentral.
CGGGGAGUAGCGCAGGCCGGUAGCGCAUCUGGUUUGGGACCAGGGGGUCGCAGGUUCGAAUCCUGUCUCCCCGACGA